This 86-nucleotide transfer RNA is filed under the name Ilumatobacteraceae bacterium. Its description in RNAcentral is "tRNA-Leu". It matches the Rfam family "tRNA". Rfam says of the family: Transfer RNA (tRNA) molecules are approximately 80 nucleotides in length. Lineage: Bacteria; Bacillati; Actinomycetota; Acidimicrobiia; Acidimicrobiales; Ilumatobacteraceae. The record is from RNAcentral. RNAcentral also lists the same sequence under 1 other name.
GCCCGGGUGGCGGAAUUGGCAGACGCAGGGGGCUUAAACCCCCCUUCCACGCAAGUGGAGUGCGGGUUCGAUCCCCGCCCCGGGCA